GACGAACGCUGGCGGCGUGCUUAACACAUGCAAGUCGAACGGGAUUUAGUAAACAGAAGCCUCGGUGGAAGAUUACUAAUGAGAGUGGCGAACGGGUGAUUAACGCGUGAGCAACCUGCCUAUGACAGUGGGAUAGCCUCGGGAAACCGGGAUUAAUACCGCAUAAAAUCGUAGAAACACAUGUUUUAACGGUCAAAGAUUUAUCGGUCAUAGAUGGGCUCGCGUCUGAUUAGCUAGUUGGUGAGAUAACAGCCCACCAAGGCGACGAUCAGUAGCCGGUCUGAGAGGAUGAACGGCCACAUUGGAACUGAGACACGGUCCAAAAUCCUACGGGAGGCAGCAGUGGGGAAUAUUGCACAAUGGGGGAAACCCUGAUGCAGCGACGCCGCGUGAACGAAGAAGGUAUUCGUAUCGUAAAGUUCUGUCCUAUGGGAAGAUAAUGACAGUACCAUAGAAGAAAGCUCCGGCUAAAUACGUG
This 478-nucleotide ribosomal RNA is filed under the name uncultured bacterium. RNAcentral's name for it is "partial 16S ribosomal RNA". It matches the Rfam family "Bacterial small subunit ribosomal RNA", at positions 28 to 507 of the family's 1533-position model. The record is from RNAcentral.